UAGGGAAUCUUCGGCAAUGGACGAAAGUCUGACCGAGCAACGCCGCGUGAGUGAAGAAGGUUUUCGGAUCGUAAAACUCUGUUGUUAGAGAAGAACAAGGACGUUAGUAACUGAACGUCCCCUGACGGUAUCUAACCAGAAAGCCACGGCUAACUACGUGCUAGCAGCCGCGGUAAUACGUAGGUGGCAAGCGUUGUCCGGAUUUAUUGGGCGUAAAGCGAGCGCAGGCGGUUUCUUAAGUCUGCUGUGAAAGCCCCCGGCUCAACCGGGAGGGUCAUUGGAAACUGGGAGACUUGAGUGCGGAAGAGGAGAGUGGAAUUCCAUGUGUAGCGGUGAAAUGCGUAGAUAUAUGGAGGAGAACCAGUGGCGAAGGCGGCUCUCUGGUCUGUAACUGACGCUGAGGAACGAAAGCGUGGGUAGCAAACAGG
Molecule: ribosomal RNA, 428 nt
Filed under: bacterium
Lineage: Bacteria
Description: partial 16S ribosomal RNA
Rfam family: Bacterial small subunit ribosomal RNA
Source: RNAcentral